This 391-nucleotide ribosomal RNA is filed under the name Acanthamoeba sp. MN-2012. RNAcentral describes it as "SSU rRNA". The stretch from base 1 to 342 matches the Rfam family "Eukaryotic small subunit ribosomal RNA", at positions 786 to 1116 of the family's 1831-position model. Lineage: Eukaryota; Discosea; Longamoebia; Acanthamoebidae. The record is from RNAcentral.
UUUCUGCCACCGAAUACAUUAGCAUGGGAUAAUGGAAUAGGACCCUGUCCUCCUAUUUUCAGUUGGUUUUGGCAGCGCGAGGACUAGGGUAAUGAUUAAUAGGGAUAGUUGGGGGCAUUAAUAUUUAAUUGUCAGAGGUGAAAUUCUUGGAUUUAUGAAAGAUUAACUUCUGCGAAAGCAUCUGCCAAGGAUGUUUUCAUUAAUCAAGAACGAAAGUUAGGGGAUCGAAGACGAUCAGAUACCGUCGUAGUCUUAACCAUAAACGAUGCCGACCAGCGAUUAGGAGACGUUGAAUACAAAACACCACCAUCGGUUGCGGUCGUCCUUGGCGUCUCGGUUUCGGCCGGGGCGCGGGGACGGUUUAGCCCGGUGGCACCGGUGAAUGACUCCC